Molecule: long non-coding RNA, 1177 nt
Organism: Papaver somniferum (opium poppy)
Lineage: Eukaryota; Viridiplantae; Streptophyta; Magnoliopsida; Ranunculales; Papaveraceae
Exons: 5
Source: RefSeq, a predicted model, not a curated record
CUUGGAAGGAUGUCUAAUUGGUUCAACACGGACCUCUUUGAUUCAACCCUUUCCGCUAUGUCCCGUAAAUUCCUAUUCACCCGUCACUCAAAUCAGCUGAACUCACCAUCUACUUUCAGAUAAUUGAAAUAGCCUUUCAGUUGGUUCUUUUAGUGAUACUUUCUUCUGUAGAACGAAGGCGUUCAUUGAAAAUGCCCCAGUUUCACUUCCAAUCACCGAGGAAAAUCAGAAAUCACAGAGGCAAAAGCUACGAGAUUCCAGAAUUCUGCAGCUAUGAGAUUCUGAAGGAACAGACAAACUGUUAAACAAGUGAGUUGGUUGAGCUUGGCCAUACUGACAGAGAUCGAGCUGUGUCCGCAGCUUCUCACCCAACACCCGCUAUAAUAUUCCCUUUUGUAGCAGCAACGAUGGCUAGAAUACUCCAAGCGAGAGAAAUUCUGAUAACCCUCAGCAGCGCACUGAUCUUCACAGAAUUGAGGUGUUUGCUUGAGGUCUUCUGCUUGAUGAAGGAGCUCUGUCACUAUAUACUUAAACAUGUUUACAUUUGAAGAGGUUGCUGGCGUAAUUUUUUGCAUAUGAAAGAGAUGUUAUGAGGGUUUCUUUACUCCCAUAAUCAUUGCUCUGCAGUUCAUUGAGUAACGCUACUCAUUGCUCUGAAGAUUGCAUUUUUAGAGCAUUUGUAGCGUUACUCAUUGCUCUGAAGAUUGCAUUUUCAGCAUUACUCAAUGAACUACAAAACAAUGAUUAGGGGAGUAAAUAAAUCUUCAGAGUGGUUUUACUCUGCUUGCCAAAAAUGCAAUGAAAGACAUGCAAUAAUCAACAGCACACUGUGGUGCUACUCUUGCGAUGAAGAAGUCGAGUUUCCAGAAACCAGGUAAAUAUAUUUCGAAAUAGACAUCUGAAGUGUUAGGCAAACAAAUAUCCCUAUCGGAUUCCUGUCGGGAAAGUUCUCAGGUUAUUCAGCGGUAAGUCUAGCAACGCCUAUCUUUAAAAUACAUCUCAUAUAUUUUCUACAUGUAAAAGUUAGAGCACUGAUACAAAAUUACACAAGUUAAAAGCUACUUCACACCGACUUAUUCUUAUUUGUGUUGUUUAGGAUGUAUUUGUAAGGUUGUUGCUUGCAAGACUAGAGCAGUGAGUAUGCCAAAAAUCAAUCCAUAUUUAUUAUUGUACACUA